RNAcentral lists this ribosomal RNA (253 nucleotides) under uncultured bacterium. Its description in RNAcentral is "partial 16S ribosomal RNA". It matches the Rfam family "Bacterial small subunit ribosomal RNA", at positions 524 to 776 of the family's 1533-position model. The record is from RNAcentral.
UACAGAGGUCUCAACCGUUGUUCGGAUUCAUUGGGCGUAAAGGGUGCGUAGGCGGUCGCGUAAGUCAGGUGUGAAAUCUCAGGGCUCAACCCUGAAACUGCACUUGAUACUGCGUGGCUCGGGUACUGGAGAGGAGACUGGAAUUUACGGUGUAGCAGUGAAAUGCGUAGAUAUCGUAAGGAAGACCAGUGGCGAAGGCGAGUCUCUGGACAGUUACCGACGCUGAGGCACGAAAGCGUGGGGAGCAAACAGG